UAGGGAGUCUUCGGCAAUGGACGGAAGUCUGACCGAGCAACGCCGCGUGAGUGAAGAAGGUUUUCGGAUCGUAAAGCUCUGUUGUAAGAGAAGAACGAGUGUGAGAGUGGAAAGUUCACACUGUGACGGUAUCUUACCAGAAAGGGACGGCUAACUACGUGCCGGCAGCCGCGGUAAUACGUAGGUCCCGAGCGUUGUCCGGAUUUAUUGGGCGUAAAGCGAGCGCAGGCGGUUAGAUAAGUCUGAAGUUAAAGGCUGUGGCUUAACCAUAGUACGCUUUGGAAACUGUUUAACUUGAGUGCAAGAGGGGAGAGUGGAAUUCCAUGUGUAGCGGUGAAAUGCGUAGAUAUAUGGAGGAACACCGGUGGCGAAAGCGGCUCUCUGGCUUGUAACUGACGCUGAGGCUCGAAAGCGUGGGGAGCAAACAGGAUUAGAUACCCUGGUAGUCCACGCCGUAAACGAUGAGUGCUAGGUGUUAGACCCUUUCCGGGGUUUAGUGCCGUAGCUAACGCAUUAAGCACUCCGCCUGGGGAGUACGACCGCAAGGUUG
Molecule: ribosomal RNA, 550 nt
Filed under: uncultured bacterium
Lineage: Bacteria
Description: bacterial SSU rRNA
Rfam family: Bacterial small subunit ribosomal RNA
Source: RNAcentral